Sciurus carolinensis (gray squirrel) is the source of this 497-nucleotide non-coding RNA. The record is from the annotation of a RefSeq genome assembly. NCBI's taxonomy places the organism in Eukaryota, Metazoa, Chordata, Mammalia, Rodentia, Sciuridae.
GCUCUCUGCUCACACAGGGUGAGCUCUCUGGGAAGGCAGGUGUGGUCUAGAAGAUGAGGCUGCUGGGUCUUCUCCUGUGCCUGGUCACAGCUCCCCAAGGUGUCCUGUGCCAGGUGCAGCUGCAGGAGUCAGGACCUGGCCUGGUGAAGCCCUCACAGACCCUGUCCCUCACCUGUGCUGUGUCUGGAUUCUCCAUCACAACCAGCUCUUACUACUGGCAGUUGAUUCAUCAGUCCCCAGGGAAGGGGCUGGAGUGGACGGGGCUCAUAUGUUAUGGUGGUAGCACUUACUACAGCCCAUCCCUCAAGAGCCGAGCGUCCAUCUCCAGAGACAUGUCCAAGAACCAGUUCUCCCUGCAGCUGAGCUGACCGCCCAGGACACGGCCACCUAUUACUGUACUAGAGACACAGUGAGGGGACCUCAGUGUGAGCCAGACACAAACCUCCCUGCAGGGAGCCCAGGGCCAGCAGGGGGUGCUCAGCACACAGGGAGCUCAG